RNAcentral lists this ribosomal RNA (497 nucleotides) under uncultured bacterium. RNAcentral's name for it is "partial 16S ribosomal RNA". It matches the Rfam family "Bacterial small subunit ribosomal RNA", at positions 28 to 507 of the family's 1533-position model. The record is from RNAcentral.
GACGAACGCUGGCGGCGUGCCUAAUACAUGCAAGUAGAACGCUGAAGAGAGGAGCUUGCUCUUCUUGGAUGAGUUGCGAACGGGUGAGUAACGCGUAGGUAACCUGCCUUGUAGCGGGGGAUAACUAUUGGAAACGAUAGCUAAUACCGCAUAACAAUGGAUGACACAUGUCAUUUAUUUGAAAGGGGCAAUUGCUCCACUACAAGAUGGACCUGCGUUGUAUUAGCUAGUAGGUGAGGUAACGGCUCACCUAGGCGACGAUACAUAGCCGACCUGAGAGGGUGAUCGGCCACCCUGGGACUGAGACACGGCCCAGACUCCUACGGGAGGCAGCAGUAGGGAAUCUUCGGCAAUGGGGGCAACCCUGACCGAGCAACGCCGCGUGAGUGAAGAAGGUUUUCGGAUCGUAAAGCUCUGUUGUAAGUCAAGAACGAGUGUGAGAGUGGAAAGUUCACACUGUGACGGUAGCUUACCAGAAAGGGACGGCUAACUACGUG